Molecule: transfer RNA, 73 nt
Filed under: Candidatus Nanoarchaeia archaeon
Lineage: Archaea; Nanobdellati; Nanobdellota; Candidatus Nanoarchaeia
Also listed under: 1 other name
Description: tRNA-Thr
Rfam family: tRNA
About the family: Transfer RNA (tRNA) molecules are approximately 80 nucleotides in length. Their secondary structure includes four short double-helical elements and three loops (D, anti-codon, and T loops).
Source: RNAcentral
GCCCCAGUAGCUCAGCUGGAAGAGCGACUGCCUUGUAAGCAGUAGGUCGUGGGUUCGAAUCCCACCUGGGGCU